CCCUUAGAUGUUCUGGGCCGCACGCGCGCUACACUGACAAAGGCAACGAGCUACUCUUCACCGAAAGGUGUGGGUAAUCUUUUGAAACUUUGUCGUGCUGGGGAUAGAUCCUUGCAAUUUUUGAUCUUAAACGAGGAAUUCCUAGUAAGCGCAAGUCAUCAACUUGCGUUGAUUACGUCCCUGCCCUUUGUACACACCGCCCGUCGCUACUACCGAUUGAAUGGUUUAGUGAGGCCUUCGGAUCCGCGACUCGUUUGUGGAGAAGUUGGACAAACUCAGUCAUUUAGAGGAAGUAAAAGUCGUAACA
This 307-nucleotide ribosomal RNA is filed under the name uncultured eukaryote. RNAcentral describes it as "partial 18S ribosomal RNA". It matches the Rfam family "Eukaryotic small subunit ribosomal RNA", at positions 1470 to 1796 of the family's 1831-position model. The record is from RNAcentral.